This 940-nucleotide ribosomal RNA is filed under the name uncultured Actinomycetes bacterium. RNAcentral's name for it is "bacterial SSU rRNA". It matches the Rfam family "Bacterial small subunit ribosomal RNA", at positions 1 to 868 of the family's 1533-position model. Lineage: Bacteria; Bacillati; Actinomycetota; Actinomycetes. The record is from RNAcentral.
UAUAGAAUACUCAAGCUAUGCAUCCCAACGCGUUGGGAGCUCUCCCAUAUGGUCGACCUGCAGGCGGCCCGCGAAUUCACUAGUGAUUUAGAGUUUGAUCCUGGCUCAGGACGAACGCUGGCGGCGUGCUUAACACAUGCAAGUCGAACGAUGAAGCUGGAGCUUGCUCCGGUGGAUUAGUGGCGAACGGGUGAGUAACACGUGAGCAAUCUGCCCUUGACUCUGGGAUAACUGCGGGAAACUGUAGCUAAUACCGGAUACUUUCCUCGGUGGGCAUCCACUGGGGAAGAAAGAAUUUCGGUCAAGGAUGAGCUCGCGACCUAUCAGCUAGUUGGUGAGGUAAUGGCUCACCAAGGCGACGACGGGUAGCCGGCCUGAGAGGGUGACCGGCCACACUGGGACUGAGACACGGCCCAGACUCCUACGGGAGGCAGCAGUGGGGAAUAUUGCACAAUGGGCGCAAGCCUGAUGCAGCAACGCCGCGUGAGGGACGAAGGCCUUCGGGUUGUAAACCUCUUUUAGCAGGGAAGAAGCGAAAGUGACGGUACCUGCAGAAAAAGCACCGGCUAACUACGUGCCAGCAGCCGCGGUAAUACGUAGGGUGCAAGCGUUGUCCGGAAUUAUUGGGCGUAAAGAGCUCGUAGGCGGUUUGUCACGUCUGCUGUGAAAUUUCGAGGCUCAACCUCGAACUUGCAGUGGGUACGGGCAGGCUAGAGUGCGGUAGGGGAGAUGGGAAUUCCUGGUGUAGCGGUGGAAUGCGCAGAUAUCAGGAGGAACACCAAUGGCGAAGGCACAUCUCUGGGCCGUAACUGACGCUGAGGAGCGAAAGCAUGGGGAGCAAACAGGAUUAGAUACCCUGGUAGUCCAUGCCGUAAACGGUGGGUGAUAGCUGUGGGCCACAUUCCACGUGGUCCGUGACGAAGUUAACACAUUAAGCACC